This 498-nucleotide ribosomal RNA is filed under the name uncultured bacterium. Its description in RNAcentral is "partial 16S ribosomal RNA". It matches the Rfam family "Bacterial small subunit ribosomal RNA", at positions 30 to 523 of the family's 1533-position model. The record is from RNAcentral.
AUUGAACGCUGGCGGCAUGCCUUACACAUGCAAGUCGAACGGUAACAGGUCUUCGGAUGCUGACGAGUGGCGAACGGGUGAGUAAUACAUCGGAACGUGCCCGAUCGUGGGGGAUAACGAAGCGAAAGCUUUGCUAAUACCGCAUACGAUCUACGGAUGAAAGCAGGGGACCGCAAGGCCUUGCGCGAACGGAGCGGCCGAUGGCAGAUUAGGUAGUUGGUGGGAUAAAAGCGUACCAAGCCGACGAUCUGUAGCUGGUCUAAGAGGACGACCAGCCACACUGGGACUGAGACACGGCCCAGACUCCUACGGGAGGCAGCAGUGGGGAAUUUUGGACAAUGGGCGAAAGCCUGAUCCAGCCAUGCCGCGUGCAGGAUGAAGGCCUUCGGGUUGUAAACUGCUUUUGUACGGAACGAAAAGACUCUGGUUAAUACCUGGGGUCCAUGACGGUACCGUAAGAAUAAGCACCGGCUAACUACGUGCCAGCCGCCGCGGUAA